CCGGGAUAGCUCAGUUGGUAGAGCAGAGAGMCUGAAAAUCCUCGUGUCA
This 49-nucleotide transfer RNA is filed under the name Riccia multifida. RNAcentral's name for it is "partial tRNA-Phe". Lineage: Eukaryota; Viridiplantae; Streptophyta; Marchantiopsida; Marchantiales; Ricciaceae. The record is from RNAcentral.